AUGACGAAGACUUGGCAAAUUUUGGUGGCUAUUCUGUGGCUUCAGUUAAGCUGUAAAACAGGGGUCAAUGGCAAAAAUGGAGUGGAGCAAAGUCCCCAGCACCUGAGUGCCCAGGAAGGAGAAGUUAUCACAAUCAAUUGCAGUUACUCCAUAGGCAUGACCAGCUUACACUGGAUGCGACAGAAUCCUGGAGGAGGCAUCGUCUCCUUGUUUACACUGAGCUUAGAGAUGAAGAAGAAAGGAAGAAUAAGUGCCACAAUAAACACAAAGGAGAGUCGCAGCGCCCUGCACAUCUCAGCCGCCCAGCCCAGAGACUCUGCCGUCUACCUCUGUGCUGUGGAGACACAGUGCUCCCCAAGCAUCUGGAGGCCGUACCCAAACCCUGAAGCUGAGACAUCAUUUCUUCUCAUUCUUGUCUUUCCAGACUUGUCUGCCUCUUUCCUUGGACAGAUGAU
This is a non-coding RNA of Myotis lucifugus (little brown bat), 455 nucleotides long. The record is from the annotation of a RefSeq genome assembly. Lineage: Eukaryota; Metazoa; Chordata; Mammalia; Chiroptera; Vespertilionidae.